Alligator sinensis (Chinese alligator) is the source of this 567-nucleotide long non-coding RNA. RefSeq lists it as uncharacterized. The transcript is spliced from 4 exons. The record is from RefSeq and is a predicted model, not a curated record. Lineage: Eukaryota; Metazoa; Chordata; Crocodylia; Alligatoridae.
AACAAGACUCAACAGUAUCUUUCUUCCUGCUACUCUUGCUUCAGACACCUAACUUAUCUCAACCAGCUGUUUAUAACCCAUUUGGGUUCAUGAAGGCUGUCUUCCCUGGCUACUCCUCUGGCAGUACACAAGAAGGGGUCAUCAACAAUGGAUCCUACCUCACUCUCAAAUAUUACUGGUUUGUGGUUUCUGGAUCUCUUAUAAAGAGUGGUUUCUUACAGCAAGCAACAAGGAAUCUUCAUGCAAGUUUUCCAAUAUGAAUCUGUUUAUGGCCCCUUGGUUAAUAGAUGCAAGAUGGGACCCCCAGAGUAAGAAGAAAGAAUUCUGUGCAUCUUGGCCAGCUGCUGUUUCUCACCAGUUCCCACACUCAUCCACUUGUUCUCUUGUCAGAUGCCCUGAAUGUGCUCACCUCCUGACACCAACUGAAUUACACAAAGACUGAAUGGGUCUUACCUUGAAGAACCAAACCAGAUUUCUCAAUGGUGUAGAGGAAAGCUGAGAAUGGAGCAACAGGGGAUUUAGCGACCAGGAUCUGCAGAACAAAUAAAUACAAACGAUUAAAAAUCC